CAAGACGAAUUCCUCGCAAGACAAAAAACUCGCUAGACGAAAGGGUUUUUUGUUUUUUGAGCUGCUUCGCAAGACGAUUUUCCCUAUGGGCUUGCUUCGCAAGACGGAAACGUCUUGCAAGUUUGUUUCCUUUUUUUUAACACCGUUAAUACAGUUGCGACUUGAUUUCGAGGAGCAACUCAUAGAACGCAGUGUGGUAGCCUUUUUUGAGGUUUUUAAAGACUUUGGUGAUUUUUGAAGCUUUUCCGAAACUUUCCCGACACCGUGCUUCGCAAGACGAAAAAAAUCGCAAGACGACAAAACUCGCAGAACGAAUUAAUUUCAUCUUGCGAGGCACCACUGUACUUGCUUUUUGCAUGGGGUGUGUUUUGAUACAAAUCUUUUCAUGAACCUAUGAAGCUUACCGACAUGUCCAUAGAGGUACAAUUGAAAUAAAUAUUUAGUAACUAUAACUGAUAUUAUGUGUAUUCAAAUCUUUUUUUGAUUACUAUAUGCCCAUGUUUAUGUAAUAUAUUAAAUUUAUGCUGAUUGCAGCUGAUUACAUAAUAUUUUGAUUUCUGUAGGAGGCAUCAUCAGGGUUAGAUUUUAUUUUGUGUUUUUUGAAUUCCUGAGCAAAUGCAGCUGCUGAAAUUUCUCUGUAAAGCAGAAUGUCCUUGAAGAAAAUCCAAAUAGCACUAGAGGCCAGCUUACACUUGUAGCCUUCAAAGAUUUUGCUGACCCAUAGACCGUGGUGUUCUUUGAAAAAGAAAACACACACAGAUGUAGCAAGAUUGCAUCCUAAUGCUAAAUUGCUGUGGUAUGCUUUGUAAAUCAACUAAUGUAUUCUGCUUUGAUUCAUCUGCAUUCCAAUUUAAGUAUACUUGGAAAAGUAUAAUGAUAAAUUCUUUGAUUUAAUUUCAGAUCAGUUUGGAACUCCACAGUCCUAGUGACUGCAAUUGCUUAGGCAAGGAAAAUGAGCUCUGAAGAUGUUUGGAAAAGGGAUGAUUCUGAAGAAGAAGAAGAAGAGUAUGUUUCCAGUGAGUCAGAAGAACAAUCUGAACCAGAAUUGGAACCAGAGGAUCCUGAAGAUCCUAUUUAUGCCACAGCUCCAACAGUUAAUAUUCGGGAUGAAGGUUCCAUUGACGUGCACACAUGUCCUGCCUUUCAGUGCCUUGAUGAGGUAGUGUACUCUUAGUUUCCUUUAUGUCAGCAUGAUAGAUACUAUUUUCAGUUGAAUUGCCUCUGUAGGAAAUUAAAAACAAAGCAACUUUUAAGUACCUAUUGUGAAAAUAGCAUUGAUCCAUCACAACAGCAACUGAAAACAAGAUACAGGAAACCAUCUUGUCAAAAAGCAUGCAAACUGAAAUAAAACAAAUGAAAAACUCUGCACUGUUAUCCAAGCACACCACUUUGCCUUAUUGGGGUAAUGUUCUUGACUUUGGUGGAAUGUUCAUUAUCUCGUUUCCACAAAUAUGUUAAACAGAAUUCCUAAGAGUCCCUUUCAAGGCUUUGCAUAAGAAACAGCAAGGCAUAGAAUAUGUGUCAAAUGUAAACUGUUACUUUGCAGAGCUGACACGAUUGCUCUUUAUAGUGAUCUGUUCCAGGGGUAAUCAGCUUGGUGCCUUUGAAAUACAGUGAUACCUCGGGUUACAUACGCUUCAGGUUACAUACGCUUCAGGUUACACACUCCGCUAACCCAGAAAUAGUGCUUCAGGUUAAGAACGUUGCUUCAGGAUAAGAGCAGAAAUUGUGCUCCGGCGGCGCGGCAGCAGCAGGAGGCCCCAUUAGCUAAAGCGGUGCUUCAGGUUAAGAACAGUUUCAGGUUAAGAACGGACCUCCAGAACGAAUUAAGUACUUAACCCGAGGUACCACUGUAUUUCUGGACUACAGUUCCCAUAAUUCCUGGCCAUUGUCCAUGCUGGCUGGGGCUGAUGGGAGUUGUAGCUCAACAACUUCUGGAGGGUGCCAUGUUGGCUGCCCCUGGGCCACUCAAAGGAGACGCUGUUGACAUAACUUUGGAAAAGAGAUGUGUGGUGGGGUGAAAUGAAGUUUUUGUGCAGCAGAAAGACCAUACUAACAAGUCUUAUUCCCUCACUGUUGUUUUGGCUGCUGCUUUCCUUAAGAUACGGGAUAAAUCUCUUUAAGGAUUGGGCAAUAAUAUACACAAACAUGCCAAUAUCAAGAAUAAUUGUCAAAUAAUUGCCAUUGUUUUGGCAGCUAUCCAGCAGUAUGAAGUACGCAUUAAAAGUUUGCUUGGUGACUUUAAUUUGUAAAAUUAUCUGUUUUGUCAUAAAAAGAGUUUUCCGAAGGGGGAACGAGAACAGACUUAGGAGAGCAUGGCAAGUUCAAACUGCAUUGGGCAAUUAAAAAACAUAUACCCCUGUUUUCUUCAGCACCUUUUCAGAUAUUUCCCCUCUGUUUUUCCUCUGGAUUUGGUCUUUAGUUUUGUCUUACAGGAAACAGUGAAGUAAAAUUAGUAUGUUCUUAAAUUCUUUUUGUUUAUAAAAUUUACAAAGCAUUUUCUGUUCAAACACACCAAGGCCUAGCCAAAGAAGAAAAUAGUUUCCUAACACUCUUGAGAAAGAGUUGAAACAAAACUUUCUCUGGAUUGCACUAAGAAUGGCACAAAACUAAAACACGAGAGAGUAUAAUAUAAAACCCUGUUGGCUUCCAUUGCACAGAAGCCAACUUAAAUCAAAACUAGCAAGGUGCAGACACAAAUGUAAAGCACUCUGUGUUGCAAACUAAACCGUAGUGUUGGAACAAGCGCCCAAAGACCUGGGCUUAUGAUUGGCUCUGUUCCUAAGACACAGUGGGAAAUUUCAGCCAUGCCAACAUUCUCAAAUAUUCAUAUAUCAAGUCAGGUACAUAUGCCACUGGCUUUGUAAUACAGUGGUGUCUCGCAGGACGAAAAGAAUCCGUUCCGCGAUUCUCUUCGUCUUGCGGUUUUUUCGUCUUGCGAAGCAAGCCCAUUAGCGGAUUUGCGCUCUUAGCGGGCUUAGCGGAUCAGCUGAUAAGCGGCUUAGCGGAUCAGCUGAUAAGCGGCUUAGCGAUCAGCUGUUUAGCGGCUUAGCGGAUCAGCUGUUAAGCGGCUUAGCGGAUCAGCUGAUAAGCGGCUUAGCGGCUUGGGAAAAAGGGGGGGGAGGGAAAAAACCCUGCAGGAACUCGCAAGACAUUUUCGUCUUGCGAAGCAAGCCCAUAGGAAAUUCGUUUUGCGAAGCACCUCCAAAACGGAAAACCCUUUCGUCUAGCGGGUUUUCCGUCUUGCGAGGCAUUCGUCUUGCGGGGCACCACUGUAAGAUCAUUCUAUAACACAG
This 3296-nucleotide long non-coding RNA is filed under the name Podarcis muralis (Common wall lizard). Its description in RNAcentral is "lncRNA (ENSPMRG00000019418.1)". Lineage: Eukaryota; Metazoa; Chordata; Lepidosauria; Squamata; Lacertidae. The record is from RNAcentral.